RNAcentral lists this ribosomal RNA (253 nucleotides) under uncultured bacterium. RNAcentral describes it as "partial 16S ribosomal RNA". It matches the Rfam family "Bacterial small subunit ribosomal RNA", at positions 524 to 776 of the family's 1533-position model. The record is from RNAcentral.
UACGGAGGGUGCAAGCGUUAAUCGGAAUUACUGGGCGUAAAGCGCGCGUAGGUGGUUUGUUAAGUCAGAUGUGAAAGCCCAGGGCUCAACCUUGGAACUGCAUUUGAAACUGGCAAGCUAGAGUACAGCAGAGGAUAGUGGAAUUUCAGGUGUAGCGGUGAAAUGCGUAGAGAUCUGAAGGAACACCAGUGGCGAAGGCGACUGUCUGGGCUGAUACUGACACUGAGGUGCGAAAGCGUGGGUAGCAAACAGG